ACAAUUCAACAAAUGACCUUCCGGGCUUUCCAGUACGAUUCCCGCCCCUGCGCCUGCCUCUCCUGAAGACCCAUCUACGAAUAAUUUCCAUGUGGGGGGCUCGGCUGGCUCCAUCAGGGCCUCCAUUUCUGGGGCUUUGGUAAAUUCGACCAUAAAAUCGGCAAGGGCCUGGCCCUUGAUAGCGUGUCUAGGUCGGAACGUGAGAUCGAACUCGCUGAGCUCGAUAGCCCAUUUCAGUAGGCAUCCUGAC
RNAcentral lists this long non-coding RNA (250 nucleotides) under Olea europaea (common olive). RNAcentral describes it as "long non-coding RNA (OEUR_LNC009696)". The record is from RNAcentral. Lineage: Eukaryota; Viridiplantae; Streptophyta; Magnoliopsida; Lamiales; Oleaceae.